Molecule: unclassified non-coding RNA, 260 nt
Filed under: Hevea brasiliensis (rubber tree)
Lineage: Eukaryota; Viridiplantae; Streptophyta; Magnoliopsida; Malpighiales; Euphorbiaceae
Source: RNAcentral
AAAAAAAUGCUUACAAUGACAAGGGUCCUGAUUCAUUUAGGAGUGCAUAAAUGUGGUAUUUACAUAAGUAGUUAAUUGCAGGCCCUGGUUGCAAGGAGAAGAGAUGGUCAAGUUUCUCCUAAUUUGCAGAGAAUAGCCAACUUUUCAUCAUAGCAUGUCCUAUUCUCUAAGUAUAAUAUAUAAUCCUCUAUGUUUUAUUACUAUGAUAUCCCACAAAUCAGAAAAUCUGAAAUUCUGGAUAGAUAGGGUUGCUGCCAUUG